Molecule: long non-coding RNA, 1182 nt
Organism: Zophobas morio
Lineage: Eukaryota; Metazoa; Arthropoda; Insecta; Coleoptera; Tenebrionidae
Exons: 2
Source: RefSeq, a predicted model, not a curated record
UUUUAUAAAUUUUUGUGAUACAUAAAAAAAUAUAUUCUCAUUCUAUCAGCAUUUAUCAGGUUUGGGUUUUAUGGUAGUUUGGAGAAACCACCGGGUGUUAAGCCGUGUUAAGGUCAGCAGAAAAAACAUAAAUUGGCAUUUUAUACCAGUCAGAGCAGCUCACUUUGGAGGCAAUGCAAUGCUGACGUAUGAGGAGCUGUAUACCCUACUGGUAGGUAUAGAGGCUUGUCUAAACUCGCAGCCGUUAUGUCCAUUGACGGAAGAUCCGAACGAUGACGAAGUCCUGACGCCAGGACAUUUUUUAAUUGGCAGUUCAUUAACAGCUGUACCGGAACCUGAUAUGAGCGACUGGAAAACGGGACGCUUAUCCCGAUGGCAACAUGUUGAGCAAAUUCGUCAACACUUUUGGCGUCGAUGGUCCCGGGAAUAUUUGGGCCAUUUACUACUUAGGGCGAAGUGGCAUCGGACUACGUCCCAAAUACAGCCGGGAAUGUUGGUCUUCCUGAGGGAUCCCAGUCCACCCCUAAAUUGGUGACGAGGACGAGUGGUAGAACUCCAUCCAGGCCCUGAUGGAUGCACCAGGGUCGUAUGAAUACGUGUCGGGGACCGCAUAAUGAAGAAAGCCGUCAGGACAUUGGAGGUACUACUGGUGGAUUGAACAAGCCGUUCAAUGCGGGCCGGGAUGUUCGGGCCAAUCGAGAAGCCCGCCGUGCAACCAGCGACGGAAGGGAGGGGGACACAACCACCCUCUUCCACUUCAAUUUGUAAAUAGUUUUUAGUUCUGUACGAGUUAGGCUAGGGAAAUAAACAAUAAAAGUACAGACGGGUUUUGUAGUUGCUCUGAACCACAUUAGUCCAGAGUGUCACCCAUUGUGACCUACAAGUAACCAGGGCCAUCCAUUGUGGCUUACAAGUUGGUCACCCAUUGUGACCUGGUCCUUCGAACCGACGACGCGAUUCACCAGGUUGAAUUGCAUCACAAGAACAGAACAACAUUUUUUUUUGGGCCUACGAACCGCCACAUCAUCAUUUUUUGGUUUUCCGAGCCGAAGUCCACAACAAAUAUAGAAACACUAUAAACAUCAAAGAAUUGUUUAUCUGUCAUAAAAUGUAAUGUCGCUAAAUUUACAUAAGUAUGUAUAUACAUAUGUUUAGACAAGCUCUAUAAAAUAAUGCCAAUUC